This 212-nucleotide ribosomal RNA is filed under the name uncultured bacterium. RNAcentral describes it as "partial 16S ribosomal RNA". It matches the Rfam family "Bacterial small subunit ribosomal RNA", at positions 706 to 915 of the family's 1533-position model. The record is from RNAcentral.
ACACCGGGGGCGAAGGCGGUGGUCUGGGCCGGAACUGACGCUGAGGAGCGAAAGCGUGGGUAGCAAACAGGAUUAGAUACCCUGGUAGUCCACGCCGUAAACGUUGGGCACUAGGUGUGGGGCCCUAUCGACGGGCUCCGUGCCGUAGCUAACGCAUUAAGUGCCCCGCCUGGGGAGUACGGCCGCAAGGCUAAAACUCAAAGGAAUUGACG